AAAACAUGGCCAAGUCGCGGGGCAGCAUGGGGGUUGCUUGCAACCCCUGAUGGCGACCGGCGCACGGGUGAGUAACGCGUAUCCAACCUGCCCUUCACCACGGGAUAACCCGGCGAAAGUCGGACUAAUACCGUAUGUUGUCCAUUGACGGCAUCCGAUUUGGACGAAAGGCUUAGCGGUGAGGGAUGGGGAUGCGUCCGAUUAGCUUGACGGCGGGGUAACGGCCCACCGUGGCAACGAUCGGUAGGGGUUCUGAGAGGAAGGUCCCCCACACUGGAACUGAGACACGGUCCAGACUCCUACGGGAGGCAGCAGUGAGGAAUAUUGGUCAAUGGGCGGAAGCCUGAACCAGCCAAGUAGCGUGCAGGAUGACGGCCCUAUGGGUUGUAAACUGCUUUUAUGCGGGGAUAAAGGAGCCCACGUGUGGGUUUUUGCAGGUACCGCAUGAAUAAGGACCGGCUAAUUCCGUGCCAGCAGCCGCGGUAAUACGGAAGGUCCGGGCGUUAUCCGGAUUUAUUGGGUUUAAAGGGAGCGUAGGCCGCCCCUUAAGCGUGUUGUGAAAUGCGGGUGCUCAACAUCCGACUUGCAGCGCGAACUGGGGGGCUUGAGUGCGCCGAAAGUAGGCGGAAUUCGUGGUGUAGCGGUGAAAUGCUUAGAUAUCACGAAGAACUCCGAUUGCGAAGGCAGCUUACUGUAGCGCAACUGACGCUGAUGCUCGAAAGCGUGGGUAUCGAACAGGAUUAGAUACCCUGGUAGUCCACGCGGUAAACGAUGGAUGCUCGUUGUCGGCCCUUGCGGUCGGUGACCAAGCGAAAGCGUUAAGCAUCCCACCUGGGGAGUACGCCGGCAACGGUGAAACUCAAAGGAA
Molecule: ribosomal RNA, 868 nt
Filed under: uncultured bacterium
Lineage: Bacteria
Description: bacterial SSU rRNA
Rfam family: Bacterial small subunit ribosomal RNA
Source: RNAcentral